Heterocephalus glaber (naked mole-rat) is the source of this 1450-nucleotide long non-coding RNA. Lineage: Eukaryota; Metazoa; Chordata; Mammalia; Rodentia; Bathyergidae. The record is from Ensembl.
GUUCAGAGAAGAGGGAGGUGACCCCGGGGAUGACAGUGUUCCCUUGUCCUUAAGGAACUGGUGGGCAGAGCCUGCACUUGGUGGAACAUGCUUGUGAUCCCAGCGCUCUGGGAGGCUGAGGGACCGGGGCUCCGAGACCAGGAGGAAGAGCAGACCCGGGGAGGACUUUACCAGUGUCCGGGCUUUCCAGUUGGAGAGGGUCCUGAAGCUGGAGUCACCUUUUGUGAGCGACCCGCGAACCUACCAGGGCACUGUGAUGUUAAUGAAGGGUGCGAGGGGAGAGACACAAAUCUUAGCCCUCAGCAUCAUAAAAAAACUAGCUUGGGGCUGGGGGUGUAGCGGUGGUAGAGCACUUAGCUAGUGAGCCACGCCCUAUCCUGGAUCCUGGCUUUGCAAACAAAACACAACAAAACCAAACCAAGUACCAAGCAAAAAUGAGCUAGAAGAGACUUUAGGAAUUAUUAAAUCCAAACUGCUUUUCUUUUUCCCCCAGAACUGGGGAUUGAGCUUAGGUUUUCACACACACGAGACGCCAUCUACCCCUGAGCUGUAUCCCCAGAUUUUUAGUUUAUUUUGAAUUUUGUUUUGUUUUGUUUUUUGAGACAGGGUCUCGCUAUGUAGUUCUUUGAACUCACUGUGUAGCCCAGGCUGGCCUCACAGUGACAGCCAUCUUCCUGCCUCAGCCUCCUGAGCCCUGGGAUUACAGGCAUGUUCCACCACACCUGGUGCCUGGUUUUAUUUUGAGACAGGGCCUUGCUAAAUUGCUGAGGCUGGCCUGGAACUUGGCAUCCUCCUGCCUCAGCCUCCUCAGUAGCUGGGAUUACAGCUGCAGCUGUGUGCCACUAUUCUCAGCUACAAUCUUGUCUUUUGUUUGUUUGUUUUAUUUAUUUUUUUUUCUGUACCAGGAAUCAAACUCAGGACCUUGCGCUUGCCAGGCAGGCUCAGUGCCACUGAGCUAAGCCCCCAGCCCAUUAUUUUGUUUUUUGAGGCAAAGCCUUGCUAGUAGUUCAGGCUGGCCUUGAGCUCCUGGCGAUCCUCCUACCUCAGCCUCCCAUGUUCUAGGAGUGCUGGGGUUACAGCCUGGCACAGCCUCAUUCUUACAGGAAAACUGAUAAGCACAAUCCAUACAUCUGGCCUGACACCACAGACAUUUGAAUCUCCACCCUGUUACUCCUGGGGGGUGUCGUAGUCUGUAGGACCCAGCCCCUUGGAUUUGGAAUUGAGUACACAAAACUACAAAUACUCUGCCCAUAGAGACCAGGGCUCAGCUAGAGGCACAGGGUCCAAGGAAAAGAGCACCUUUGCCCCCUCCUUAUCUAACUCAGGGGAGCCCGGGCAGCCUUGAGCCCCUCUGAGCUGCAGUUUCCUCACCUGUAACAUGGGGAUAACUGUACAUUGCUUACCAGAUAUUUUGUGUGAGGAUUUUUAUGUUAAAAGCACUUGGCAUAUA